This 740-nucleotide ribosomal RNA is filed under the name Pseudoalteromonas sp. FOH-51. Its description in RNAcentral is "bacterial SSU rRNA". It matches the Rfam family "Bacterial small subunit ribosomal RNA", at positions 47 to 782 of the family's 1533-position model. The record is from RNAcentral. Lineage: Bacteria; Pseudomonadati; Pseudomonadota; Gammaproteobacteria; Alteromonadales; Pseudoalteromonadaceae.
CCUAACACAUGCAAGUCGAGCGGUAACAGAAAGUAGCUUGCUACUUUGCUGACGAGCGGCGGACGGGUGAGUAAUGCUUGGGAACAUGCCUUGAGGUGGGGGACAACAGUUGGAAACGACUGCUAAUACCGCAUAAUGUCUACGGACCAAAGGGGGCUUCGGCUCUCGCCUUUAGAUUGGCCCAAGUGGGAUUAGCUAGUUGGUGAGGUAAUGGCUCACCAAGGCAACGAUCCCUAGCUGGUUUGAGAGGAUGAUCAGCCACACUGGGACUGAGACACGGCCCAGACUCCUACGGGAGGCAGCAGUGGGGAAUAUUGCACAAUGGGCGCAAGCCUGAUGCAGCCAUGCCGCGUGUGUGAAGAAGGCCUUCGGGUUGUAAAGCACUUUCAGUCAGGAGGAAAGGUUAGUAGUUAAUACCUGCUAGCUGUGACGUUACUGACAGAAGAAGCACCGGCUAACUCCGUGCCAGCAGCCGCGGUAAUACGGAGGGUGCGAGCGUUAAUCGGAAUUACUGGGCGUAAAGCGUACGCAGGCGGUUUGUUAAGCGAGAUGUGAAAGCCCCGGGCUCAACCUGGGAACUGCAUUUCGAACUGGCAAACUAGAGUGUGAUAGAGGGUGGUAGAAUUUCAGGUGUAGCGGUGAAAUGCGUAGAGAUCUGAAGGAAUACCGAUGGCGAAGGCAGCCACCUGGGUCAACACUGACGCUCAUGUACGAAAGCAUGGGGAGCAAACAGGAUUAGA